AAAGCACUGACUUGUUAGCAGGCAUUAUGCCUGCUCUGUUGCCAGUAUAGUUUCCCUCAAGUGCUUUGUAUGACAUGAUUGAAUCUGCUUUAACCAUUAGAGGCCAGAACUGCCUUACAGUCUUUUGUGAAAUGGAUUCCAUGGGUCCAAGACAGCUUUUGGAUUUGGCAGUCCCCAUGUUGACAUUCUCAGUGAAAGCUGAUGAGCUUGCAGCAGGAGCACCUGUGUGCUGAGAUGCACCAAAUGUUUAUGUCGUGAACGCUACAAAAAUAAUACUGGUGUUUUUCCAGGGGUAGCCUGAUAAAUAUACUCACUUUUGAGGAUAGAAA
This 329-nucleotide long non-coding RNA is filed under the name Gallus gallus (chicken). The record is from RNAcentral. Lineage: Eukaryota; Metazoa; Chordata; Aves; Galliformes; Phasianidae.